This is a long non-coding RNA of Hippocampus zosterae (dwarf seahorse), 817 nucleotides long. RefSeq lists it as uncharacterized. NCBI's taxonomy places the organism in Eukaryota, Metazoa, Chordata, Actinopteri, Syngnathiformes, Syngnathidae. The record is from RefSeq and is a predicted model, not a curated record. The transcript is spliced from 2 exons.
GAUGUCAAGGAGCGAUUUAGAAAUUAGUUGAGGAGUUUAAUUUCACUAAAAAUAGUGCUUUGCAGCUCCCCAGUGGCACAGUCUUAACGGCUCGCUAAGCGAAGGCAUGAUUGAAAAUGAAUUUGACACCUCAGAUAAACACAGUAUCAUUAUCUCGUUUGCCCUUAAGAGUCGUCGCUGAGUAGACAGAAAAGGACUUCGGCGACUGAGUACCUCUAAGCCCUCUCUGGAAAUAUUUCCGAUCACAUUACACCGCGUUCCACUUGUUCCACUUUCUGAUGCGGAUGACUAAGGAGGCACAUGCUGACUGGAUGUGUUAAGAGCGCUUCCUGUCACGUCGGGAAAUUUGACAAGGUUUUUUUUUUUUUUUUUUUUUAAUUGCAACUUGUGGAGCUGAGCAGGAUUCUAAGAUGGAAUCGGAUGACUCGAAGAGUUGCGUUGGGACGGCAACUACACAUGGCAGAGUGUGCAUUGGAUACCUGGGCCGUGAGUGGGGACUUUGCUGUCUUUGAAUCCACAUCAUCCAAGAGUUGGCUCUUUUUUUUUUUCUACGUUUAUGUCAGUCAGUGACGAUGACCUAAACGGUCUCCACCAGAUGGGUCGGAGUCCACAGAGGCUGAGGCAGGAUGACACGACUUUGUGAAUAUUUGCCGUGGAGCUUCCACCAUCUCCUUCCUCCUCCUCAUCCUCCGGGGAGCAAACAAGUCCUGUUCUCCUUCACUGCCUCAAACAAGGUCAAAUAUAUUUCAGGAUGAGGUCUGGGAAACCGGUCCCCCACACACACACGCACAAAAAAAAGAAUAAUAAAAAAACGAAA